Molecule: microRNA precursor, 91 nt
Filed under: Canis lupus familiaris (dog)
Lineage: Eukaryota; Metazoa; Chordata; Mammalia; Carnivora; Canidae
Also listed under: 1 other name
Description: mir-8799 microRNA precursor family
Rfam family: mir-8799 microRNA precursor family
Source: Rfam by way of RNAcentral
GGGGAGAGGCCAGAUCCUGGGCUGUGUCCCGGGCGCCCUGUGUUCCCGGGCCUGCGCUGUUGGAUUCGCGCUCCCGGCCUCACAGCCCCCU